RNAcentral lists this ribosomal RNA (109 nucleotides) under Desulfovibrio psychrotolerans. Lineage: Bacteria; Pseudomonadati; Thermodesulfobacteriota; Desulfovibrionia; Desulfovibrionales; Desulfovibrionaceae. The record is from RNAcentral.
UGGUGGCCAUGGAGGCGGGGGUACACCCGAACCCAUUCCGAACUCGGAAGUUAAGCCCGCCAUCGCCGAUGAUACUGCCAGGGAGCUGGUGGGAAAGUAGGCCGCCGCC